GAUGAAGAACGCAGCGAAAUGCGAUACGUAAUGUGAAUUGCAGAAUUCAGUGAAUCAUCGAGUCUUUGAACGCACAUUGCGCCCCCUGGUAUUCCGGGGGGCAUGCCUGUCCGAGCGUCAUUGUUGCCCUCAAGCACGGCUUGUGUGUUGGGCCUCCGUCCUCCUCCCGGGGGACGGGCCCGAAAGGCAGCGGCGGCACCGCGUCCGGUCCUCGAGCGUAUGGGGCUUCGUCACCCGCUCUUGUAGGCCCGGCCGGCGCUUGCCGACACAUCAAUCUUUUUUCCAGGUUGACCUCGGAUCAGGUAGGGAUACCCGCUGAACUUAAGCAUAUCAAUAAGCGGAGGA
This 345-nucleotide unclassified non-coding RNA is filed under the name soil metagenome. RNAcentral's name for it is "partial contains 5.8S ribosomal RNA, internal transcribed spacer 2, and large subunit ribosomal RNA". The stretch from base 1 to 120 matches the Rfam family "5.8S ribosomal RNA", at positions 35 to 154 of the family's 154-position model. The record is from RNAcentral.